UACGUAGGGUGCGAGCGUUAAUCGGAAUUACUGGGCGUAAAGCGUGCGCAGGCGGUUUGUUAAGACAGAUGUGAAAUCCCCGGGCUUAACCUGGGAACUGCGUUUGUAACUGGCAGACUGGAGUGUGGCAGAGGGGGGUGGAAUUCCACGUGUAGCAGUGAAAUGCGUAGAGAUGUGGAGGAACACCAAUGGCGAAGGCAGCCCCUGGGUCGAUACUGACGCUCAUGCACGAAAGCGUGGGUAGCAAACAGGAUUAGAUACCCGGGUAGU
This 270-nucleotide ribosomal RNA is filed under the name uncultured bacterium. RNAcentral describes it as "partial 16S ribosomal RNA". It matches the Rfam family "Bacterial small subunit ribosomal RNA", at positions 524 to 794 of the family's 1533-position model. The record is from RNAcentral.